GCUAGGCAUGGUGGUGUGUGCCUGUAGUCCCAGCUACUUAGGAGGCUGAGAUGGGAGCAUCACUUGAGCCCAGGAGGUUGAGGCUGCAGUGAGCCAUGAUUGUGCCACUGCACUCCAGCCUGGGUGACAGAGUGAGACCCUAUCUCCA
This 148-nucleotide signal recognition particle RNA is filed under the name Homo sapiens (human). RNAcentral's name for it is "Metazoan signal recognition particle RNA". It matches the Rfam family "Metazoan signal recognition particle RNA". Rfam says of the family: The signal recognition particle (SRP) is a universally conserved ribonucleoprotein. The record is from Rfam by way of RNAcentral. Lineage: Eukaryota; Metazoa; Chordata; Mammalia; Primates; Hominidae.